This 465-nucleotide ribosomal RNA is filed under the name Vreelandella stevensii. Its description in RNAcentral is "partial 16S ribosomal RNA". It matches the Rfam family "Bacterial small subunit ribosomal RNA", at positions 338 to 795 of the family's 1533-position model. Lineage: Bacteria; Pseudomonadati; Pseudomonadota; Gammaproteobacteria; Oceanospirillales; Halomonadaceae. The record is from RNAcentral.
CCUACGGGCGGCAGCAGAGGGGAAUAUUGGACAAUGGGGGCAACCCUGAUCCAGCCAUGCCGCGUGUGUGAAGAAGGCCCUCGGGUUGUAAAGCACUUUCAGUGAGGAAGAACGCCUGGUGGUUAAUACCCAUCAGGAAAGACAUCACUCACAGAAGAAGCACCGGCUAACUCCGUGCCAGCAGCCGCGGUAAUACGGAGGGUGCGAGCGUUAAUCGGAAUUACUGGGCGUAAAGCGCGCGUAGGUGGCUUGAUAAGCCGGUUGUGAAAGCCCCGGGCUCAACCUGGGAACGGCAUCCGGAACUGUCAAGCUAGAGUGCAGGAGAGGAAGGUAGAAUUCCCGGUGUAGCGGUGAAAUGCGUAGAGAUCGGGAGGAAUACCAGUGGCGAAGGCGGCCUUCUGGACUGACACUGACACUGAGGUGCGAAAGCGUGGGUAGCAAACAGGAUUAGAUACCCUGGUAGUC